UACGUAGGGGGCAAGCGUUGUCCGGAAUCAUUGGGCGUAAAGAGCGCGUAGGCGGUCCGGUAAGUCCGCCCUGAAAGUCCGGGGCUCAACCCCGGGAGGCGGGCGGAUACUGUCGGGCUAGAGUCCGGAAGAGGCGAGUGGAAUUCCUGGUGUAGCGGUGAAAUGCGCAGAUAUCAGGAGGAACACCAAUGGCGAAGGCAGCUCGCUGGGACGGUACUGACGCUGAGGCGCGAAAGCGUGGGGAGCAAACAGG
RNAcentral lists this ribosomal RNA (253 nucleotides) under uncultured bacterium. RNAcentral's name for it is "partial 16S ribosomal RNA". It matches the Rfam family "Bacterial small subunit ribosomal RNA", at positions 524 to 776 of the family's 1533-position model. The record is from RNAcentral.